Molecule: ribosomal RNA, 253 nt
Filed under: uncultured bacterium
Lineage: Bacteria
Description: partial 16S ribosomal RNA
Rfam family: Bacterial small subunit ribosomal RNA
Source: RNAcentral
UACGAAAGGGGCUAGCGUUGUUCGGAAUUACUGGGCGUAAAGCGCACGUAGGCGGCCUUGUAAGAUGGGGGUGAAAUCCCUGGGCUCAACCCAGGAACUGCCUUCAUGACUGCAAAGCUCGAGGAUGUGAGAGGUUGGCGGAAUUCCGAGUGUAGAGGUGAAAUUCGUAGAUAUUCGGAAGAACACGGGUGGCGAUGGCGGCCAACUGGCACAUUUCUGACGCUGAGGUGCGAAAGCGCGGGGAGCAAACAGG